Molecule: non-coding RNA, 699 nt
Organism: Paramormyrops kingsleyae
Lineage: Eukaryota; Metazoa; Chordata; Actinopteri; Osteoglossiformes; Mormyridae
Source: RefSeq, a predicted model, not a curated record
GGGUCUGAUCAUCAUGGUGUCCGCUGUCAUCACUGUUCACCUCAGGAAGAGAUUCUACAGGCAAAGAGAGCAUGUCCAAGGGGCAGAGACAGGGGGAACUGCACCACUAGGUGGCAGACUAUAGGCAUCCUGUAUCCCUGUAUCCCUGCAUACAGCAGCCUGUUUACCCUCAGCUUACACAACAUGGUAACAAUACUUCUAUUGGAAGGUCACUGUAAGUUGAAAAUAUUAAUUCAUAUCUCAGUGUCAUUUACUAGUUGGGUCAGUGGAUCCUAAAGAUAACGUGUAUGAGGAGGGUCUGAUACAAAGCAAAUAUUAGCAUGAAAGUUAUGAGAUACAUAUCUUCAAAUAAUAUAUUUUUACCAGCCUGUAAACUCUUUACGGCUAAAAUGGGCACAGUUUCUCCACAUUUAUAUUCAACAGUGUUUUAUAAUAUUUUCUGUUUGAUCGUGUUUGUAAUGAGGACUCUUACUUAUCUGACUAGAACAGUAGCUGAAUUUGAGGUGUAUGUAUGUAAGUGUCACCACAUUUUGUCACUCUGCUUACCCUGACCCUCUCUGACUACAUUCAAGAAAACGAUCCUGCAUGCAGAGAUCAGCGCUUUGGUGUCUACAGCAAUGUGCAGCAGGAGGCUGUGAGGGCUGCUUUAAGUUGGAACUGCUGGCUUUUAUGAAAUAAAGCUUUAUUUGUGCAACUACA